Molecule: non-coding RNA, 1407 nt
Organism: Dermatophagoides farinae (American house dust mite)
Lineage: Eukaryota; Metazoa; Arthropoda; Arachnida; Sarcoptiformes; Pyroglyphidae
Source: RefSeq, a predicted model, not a curated record
AAAAAUUGACCAAAAUCUAGAUUAUAAUCAAAAACGAAUGCCAAAAAAUCUUUGUUCUGCCAAACUAUUCAAUCGAUUUACACCUUUUGGUUGGAAAACAUUUAUGAUUAUCGAUAAUAAUGAUACAAAAAUUUAUGAACUAGAACAUGUAAAUAAUAUCGAUCAUGAUCGUAAAGUUUUUGUUGAUAUACUGAAAACAAUAGAUACAUCAUCAUCGCCAUGGUCAUCAUCAUCGAAUAAUAAUAAUGACAAUAAAAAAUUAUGGCAACAAUUUCCAAUACAUAAAGCAUCAUUUUUGAAUCAUUCCAAACAAAUUGAUAAUGAAUUCAAAUUGUAUGAAGAAUCUGAUCCAUUAUUAAUAACAAUGGCAUUACGUAAUAAUAAUAAUAAUAAUGGUGAAUAUGAUUCGGCCAAAAACACACAACAAUUCAUGGAUAGAUUUUUGAAUAUUCUUGAAAGAUUUUAUCAUAUAACUUAUACAAGAAGAAUAUUAUUGAUAGAAAAACAGAAUAAGGAAAAAAAAUCAUCAUUAAUACUUAAACAUAAUAUUUAUAAUGAUUUACAAGAACAAUAUAAAAUGGAAAAAUAUAAUCAUCAUCAUCAUUAUGGUUGUAAAUUUAAUUACCACAAAUUGUUGUAAUCAUAAAUCAGCUUAAAUUGUUUCGUAUUUUUAUUUUUCACCAAUUUCAACGAAAUUGUUUUUUUUCCAUUUGACAUACAACAACAACAACAACAACGACGACAUGGAACGACAAAUAUCGGGAUUUAUUUGUAAAAAAUAUACAAUCAUUGUGAUGACAUUGAUUUUUAUGUUAAUGGCUUUGAUAUCAUUCAUCAGUAUCUGUUUGGAUGUAGAUAAAUAUGCUCAAAUAACACAUGAAAAAAAUCCAGAAAUUUCUCCCAAUGAAGCAAAGACUGCAACUAUGGCCAUCGGUGUAGUCAUUUUCAUCAUUUCAUUGACAUUUUCAUCAAUCGGUUUAUUUGGUGCUAUCAAAGAAAAUUAUUGCCUAUCCAUUACAUAUUCAUUAUUAUGGCUUAUUGAAUUGAUUAAUUCGUUGGUGAAAACAAUCGCAUCACCAAUACAUUCAUUGGGUCUCAUAAUCAAUCUGAUUAUUUUUGCUGUAUUGAUUCUAUUCAUAAUCGAUUUGCGUCAAAAACGUCAAACAUCACAAUCGCCAUCACCAUCAUUAUCACCACCACCACCGUUAACAACAACAACAACAGCAACAACAGCCGCUAAUAAUGAUUCUAAUACAACUACUACUAAUAGUUCAAUAAUCAAAACUGUUUAGCUUUAAAGAUAUAUAAUUUACUUUACACUUUUUUUGAUUUUAAUUUUCAUUUUUGUAAUUAAGUUUUCAAUAUAUAUAUGUAUAUGAUGACUCAUUAAAAUUGUGUUUGAUUUAA